This 1635-nucleotide unclassified non-coding RNA is filed under the name Hevea brasiliensis (rubber tree). The record is from RNAcentral. Lineage: Eukaryota; Viridiplantae; Streptophyta; Magnoliopsida; Malpighiales; Euphorbiaceae.
AAGAAGGAGAGAUCUGAUAAUCGAGAGAGCAAUAAAUUGCACCAACCAAAACUAAGAGACAUGUCUAGAGGAAAAUGGAGUUGGUGAUUUUAAAACUUUCUUUGAUCAUCACUCUAACCAAAACCCACCUGCAUUCAUGGCUGGUGGGAACAAGAACAUACUUGGCACUAAAAUUAUAUACAGAGUCACAAACACCCACACGCACGCACACACAUAUUUAAUCAACACUAUCAUCUCAGACUCUCACUCUAAAGAACAACAUGGCAAUCGAACAAGAAAAAUCUAAAUGGUGAGGAAAAAAAAUAAUAAAAAAAAGGGCAAAAACUUCGGAUCUUUGAAUGGGUUUGAGGAAACUAACAUGUUGAAGGGGGCAUGAGAUUCAACCCUAAAUCAUCCUUUUCCAACACUAGACGAGCUUUACUAGCCUCCAUGUUUCCUGUAUUGGAAGCAUACUCCGGGUGCGUUCUUUUCUUGGAUUGUAAAGGCACGCCAAACAACUUCGUAUUGCAGCCAUUGCUGUUGGAAUCUUCAAGAAUUGUCAAAGAACUCUGUGAAGUGUUACUUGGAGAGUUUAAAACUUGAACUUGAGGAAUUUGCUUAGCGUUAGUAGGAGGGUAAUAUCCAUAAAGCUGGUUUAAAGGCUUUUGUACCAGAGAACCGUUAGAAGCAAAAGGAUUAGCUGUAGAAGUUGGAGCACAAAGAAGCAGGGAAGAGGGGUAGGAAUUGCUAGGAGUGACAGGCUUGACAUGAUUUUGAACAAAGUAGAUAAUAUCAUUGUAAAGUUUUCGCAUGUGUGCAAGCUCAGACACAAGCAUAUUAUUGCUUCUCCUUAGUCUCUCAUUGUCCUCUGAUAAGGCAGUCACCGAGCUGUUAUAUCCGCCACCAUUAAUAACUGAAGCAUUCGCCACUCCUCUCGGCGAAGAGAGAGGCGGCGAGUCACACCAGUUGUUGGGUUGUUCAUCAGAUUCAGAUGGCGAGAUGCUAACUCGGCUUGUAAAUGGAAAGAAACUGGGUCCGUUAACGCCAAGCGGAGAAUGUGGGUGGUGAUGAUGAUGAUGAUUAAUAGCUACUUGUGGCUGAGCUGUUUUUCUUCUAUGAAUUUCACAGAGCAAUUGCUUCUCUCCUUUCUUGAAAAACUCAUUUGCGAACUCCCAUCUGUCAGGUACAAUCUUCCUAAAACCAUAGGUGUUGAGUUGCCUGACAAAGCUAGAGAAGUUAUUAUGCUUAAAAUAGUUAGGGAGGAGAUCUCGGGCGAACUCAGGCGGUCUCCAAACAACGAAAGUUGUAUCAUCUUCACCCCAAGAAACUAUGUGGUCAGUGGUGGGAUCAUCAACCAAUUGGUAAGUUUUUGUAAGGAAUGGAGCUGGGACCGAUUUGUGGGAGUCUAGUGACAGCAAUAUGCCUUCACAGUUGUCUAGCAUAAGCGCCAUUGAAGAUCAAACGCACAACUGCUAUUCUGCGGAAAGAGAAAGAGGGGGGAUGGGGGUCUGAAAGGGAAACAGUGGGGGAGUUUUGGCUUUGAUGGGUGAGAAAUAAGGGUUGGGUGAGACUGGUGACUGGCGAGUGUGAAACUUGGAUGUGGUUGGAUAAAAAUGUUGGAGAGGAAGGGGUGAGUAUGCUACUGUGCACUUUGCG